RNAcentral lists this ribosomal RNA (254 nucleotides) under uncultured bacterium. RNAcentral's name for it is "partial 16S ribosomal RNA". It matches the Rfam family "Bacterial small subunit ribosomal RNA", at positions 524 to 776 of the family's 1533-position model. The record is from RNAcentral.
UACGUAGGGUGCGAGCGUUAAUCGGAAUUACUGGGCGUAAAGCGUGCGCAGGCGGUCUGUUAAGUCCGAUGUGAAAUCCCCGGGCUUAACCUGGGAACUGCAUUGGUGACUGGCAGGCUUUGAGUGUGGCAGAGGGAGGUAGAAUUCCACGUGUAGCAGUGAAAUGCGUAGAUAUCUGGAGGAACACCGGUGGCGAAGGCGGCAUCCUGGACCAAUACUGACACUGAGGAGCGAAAGCCAGGGGAGCAAACGGG